Arachis duranensis is the source of this 952-nucleotide RNA transcript. It is a transcript of the gene named dehydration-responsive element-binding protein 2A, with no coding region annotated. The transcript has 2 exons. The record is from RefSeq and is a predicted model, not a curated record. Lineage: Eukaryota; Viridiplantae; Streptophyta; Magnoliopsida; Fabales; Fabaceae.
UCAAAAUUCCUCACAAACCCUUACACACUAUUAUAUUGGAAUAUCACGCAUCCUCAACACCAAAAAAAACUUGAAGUAUAUAUUUCGGUAGCAAUUUCAAAAUGAAGACUGAAUCUAUUCCUAGAAAAAGGAGAUCGCGCAGGAGACGCAGUGGAGGAAGUGAUUCAGUAGAGAGUACUCUUGAGAAGUGGAAGGAGUACAAUAAACAGCAGCAACAACUAAUCAGUGAAAGAGAUGGGGUUGAAGUAAUUCACAAGGUUCCUAAAGGAUCCAAAAGAGGGUGUAUGAAAGGCAAAGGUGGACCACAGAAUUAUGAUUGCAAGUUCAGGGGCGUGAGGCAGAGGAUUUCGGGCAAAUGAGUUGCAGAAAUUCGCAAACCUAUCAAUAGCAAGAGUGUUGGUGAAGAAGCAAACAAACUUUGGCUUGGAACCUUUUCUACUGCACUUGAAGCUGCUCUUGCUUAUGAUGAAGCAGCAAGGACCAUGUAUGGCCCUGGCGCUCGUUUGAACUUUUCUCAGCAUCAUGGCAUAGAAUUAGUAGGUUCUAAUGGAUCAUCUACUAGUCCAGUAUUUGAUCAGAAAUCACCAAGUGAAACCUAUAUAGAUACUUUGAAUGGUGGUGAUGUUGCAAAAGUUGACGGGUUGGAGGAAAAUCUUGAUAUGGGUCUCGAAGAACAACUCAAAUUUUCUGAGGUAAAUGAAUUAUUGGAGAUGGAAUGUGAGGGAGGAAUUCUUCAAGGGCCUUUUAAGUAUGUAAAGGACGAAGUUGCUGGAGGAAGUGAAGGACUAGAAGGAGAGUUAGAGGAGGUUUUGAAAAACUCUGGUUUAGUUGAAGAGUGUAAUAAUUACAUGCUAGAGGAUUCUAUGUGCAUGGCUACGAAUACAGGAGCUGAUUAUAACUCUUGUGAUGCUACUGAACAGGGGAUUAUGGGGAAGAGUGAAGUGUAAAAUUA